RNAcentral lists this transfer RNA (73 nucleotides) under Kapaibacterium sp. (SeqCode). RNAcentral's name for it is "tRNA-Lys". It matches the Rfam family "tRNA". Rfam says of the family: Transfer RNA (tRNA) molecules are approximately 80 nucleotides in length. Their secondary structure includes four short double-helical elements and three loops (D, anti-codon, and T loops). The record is from RNAcentral. Lineage: Bacteria; Pseudomonadati; Bacteroidota; Eximiradiia; Eximiradiales; Kapaibacteriaceae (SeqCode).
GAUCUCGUAGCUCAGUUGGUAGAGCAUUUGACUUUUAAUCAAAGGGUCGCGCGUUCGAGCCGCGCCGAGAUCA